GACGAACGCUGGCGGCGUGCUUAACACAUGCAAGUCGAACGGCAAGGCCUGCUUUCCCUUGUGGUUUGCGGGUACUCGAGUGGCCAACGGGGGAGUAACACGGGAGUUAUCUGCCCCCAACUUGGGUAUAAGCCUGGGAAACGGGGUCUAAUUCCCGAUAGUACUGCAGGGUGGUGCCUGUGGUGGAAAACGAUUUUCUAGUGGUAGGGGAUGAGCUCGCGGCCUAUCAGCUUGUUGGAGGGGUAAUGGCCUACCAAGGCGGGGAGGGGUAGCCGGCCUGAGAGCGGCGACGGCCAAAUUGGGACUGGGUUACGGCCCAGACUCCUACGGGCGGCAGCAGUGGGGGAUAAUGGACAAUGGGCGGAAGCCUGAUGCAGCGACGCCGCGAGGGGGGUGUCGGGCUUCGGGAUGUAAACUCCUUGCGAACGAGAGGAAGCCACCUGGUUGGAAGGGUGGUGACGGUAGUGGUAGAAGAAGCACCGGCUAACUACGUG
This 494-nucleotide ribosomal RNA is filed under the name uncultured bacterium. Its description in RNAcentral is "partial 16S ribosomal RNA". It matches the Rfam family "Bacterial small subunit ribosomal RNA", at positions 28 to 507 of the family's 1533-position model. The record is from RNAcentral.